RNAcentral lists this long non-coding RNA (2131 nucleotides) under Homo sapiens (human). RNAcentral's name for it is "HSALNT0375549". The record is from RNAcentral. Lineage: Eukaryota; Metazoa; Chordata; Mammalia; Primates; Hominidae.
CAACCAGCCCAAGGAACAUCUCACCCAUUUCAAAUUGGGUAAGCGGUCUUUUCACUGUCUUCUCCAGCCUCUCUUGCUACCCUUCAAUCUCCCUGUCCUUCCAAUUCCAGUUCUCUUUCCUCUCUAGUAGAGACAAAGGAGACGCAUUUUAUCCAUGGACCCAAAACUCAGACACCAGUCACGGACUCGGGAAGAUAGUCUUCCCUUGGCGUCUGAUCAUUGUGGGGAUGCCUGCCCUGAUCAUUCACCCACAUUCCAUUGGUGUCUGAUCACUGUGGGGACACCUGCCAUGGUCAUUCACCCACAUUCCCUUGAUGGCAAGUCAAUCGCGGGAUGCCUGCUUUGGCUGAUCGUCCACGUUAUAGCCCAGGGCUGCUCACCACCCCCUUUGCUGUGUCUCUACCUUUCUCUUUAAACUUACUUCUUCACUGUGGGCAACCUUCCACCCUGCAUUCCCCCUUCUUCUCCCUUAGCCUGUGUUCUCAAGAACUUAAAACCUCUUCAACUCACACCUGACCUAAAACCUAAAUGCCUUAUUUUCUUCUGCAAUACCGUUUGGCCCUAAUACAAACCCAACAAUGGUUCCAAAUGGCCAGAAAACGGCACUUUUGAUUUCUCCAUCUUACAAGAUCUAGAUGAUUUUUGUCGAAAAAUGGGGAAAUAGUCUGAGGUGCCUGACAUCCAGGCAUUCUUUUACACAUCAGUCCCUCCCUAGUCUCUGCUCCCAAUGUGACUUGUCCCAAAUCUUUCUUCUUUCUCUCCUGUCUGUUUCUUCAGUCUCCACCCCAAGCUCUGAGUCCUUUGAAUUCUCCUUUUCUACAGACCCAUCUGACCUCUUCCCUCCUCCCCAGGCUGCUGCUCACCAGCCAGGCCAAGCCAGGUCCUGAUUCUUCCUCACCCUCUGCUCCCCCACCCUAUAAUCCUUUUAUCACCUCCCCUCCUCACACCUGGUCCAGCUUACAGUUUCAUUCCAUGACUAGCUCUCCCCAACCUGCCCAAAAAUUUCCUCUUAAAGAGGUGGCUGGAGCUGAAGGUACAGUCAAGGUUAAUGCUCCUUUUUCUUUAUCCAACCUCUCCCAAAUGAGUUAGCAUUUAGGCUUUUUUUUUUUUUUUUUUAUCAAAUAUAAAAACCCAGCCCAGUUCAUGGCCCAUUUGGCAACAACCCUUAGACACUUUACUGUCCUAGACCCAGAGAGGCCAGAAGGCCGUCUUAUUCUCAAUAUGCAUUUUAUUAGUCAAUCCACUCCUGACAUUAACAAAGCUCCAAAAAUUAGAUUCUGGCCCUCAAACCCCACAACAGGACUUAAUUAACCUCGCCUUCAAGGUGUACAAUAAUAGAGAAGAGGCAGCCAAGUGGCAACAUAUUUCUGAGUUGCAAUUACUUGCCUCCACUAUGAGAGAAGCCCCAGCCACAUCUCCAGCACACAAGAACUUCAAAAUGCCUGAACUGCAGUGGCCAGGUGUUCCUCCAGGACCUCCUCCCCCAGGAUCUUGCUUCAAGUGCUAGAAAUCUGGCCACUGGGCCAAGGAAUGCCUGCAGCCCGGGAUUCCUCCUAAGCCAUGUCCCAUCUGUGCGGGACCCCACUGGAAACCGGACUGUCCAACUCGCCCAGCAGCCACUCCCAGAGCCCCUGGAAUUCUGGCCCAAGGCUCUCUGACUGACUCCUUCCCAGAUCUUCUUGGCUUAGUGGCUGAAGACUGACGUGGCUCAAUUAUCUCAGAAGCCUCCUGGACCAUCACAGAUGCUUUCGGUAACUCUUACAGUGGAGGAAGACAGGAAAUGUCAGACCUCUGAGCCCAAGCCUGCAAGUAUACAUCCAGAUGGCCUGAAGCAACUGAAGAACCACAAAAGAAGUGAAAAUAGCCAGUUCCUGCCUUAACUGAUGACAUUCCACCAUUGUGAUUUGUUCCUGCCCCACCUUAACUGAUCAAUUAACCUUGUGACAUUCCUUCUCCUAGACAAUGAGUCUCAGAACCUCCCCACUGAGCACCUUGUAACCCCUGCCCCUGCCUGCAAGAGAAUAACCCACUUUGACUGUAAUUUUCCACUACCUACCCAAAUCUUAUAAAACUGCCCCACCCCAUCUCCCUUUGCUGACUCCUUUUUCGGACUCAGUCUGCCUGCACCCAG